Long non-coding RNA from Alosa alosa (allis shad), 261 nucleotides. RefSeq lists it as uncharacterized. Lineage: Eukaryota; Metazoa; Chordata; Actinopteri; Clupeiformes; Clupeidae. The record is from RefSeq and is a predicted model, not a curated record. The transcript has 3 exons.
CUACACUCAAGAACAUGAGUAUCCAGCACAGCCUACUUCUCUUCCUCGCUUUGGUAGCAAAUGCACAUGCAGCCUUGUCAGGAGAUGAAAUCAUCAAUGGGAAGAAAGCCAAAGAUGGUUCCUUGGAAUACAUGGCAUCGGUGCAGAUCCUUGACUGGAAACGACAUAAUGCUAUUAAAGUUAGUCAAACAGGUGAAAUUAGGCAAAGGGGUGAAAGUAGUUAAUAUCCCAAGAAACGACAAACCAGUUCAGCAACCCACA